RNAcentral lists this ribosomal RNA (253 nucleotides) under uncultured bacterium. RNAcentral describes it as "partial 16S ribosomal RNA". It matches the Rfam family "Bacterial small subunit ribosomal RNA", at positions 524 to 776 of the family's 1533-position model. The record is from RNAcentral.
UACGUAGGGUGCAAGCGUUGUCCGGAAUUAUUGGGCGUAAAGAGCUCGUAGGCGGUUUGUCGCGUCGAAUGUGAAAACCCGGGGCUCAACCCCGGGCCUGCAUUCGAUACGGGCAGACUAGAGUUCGGUAGGGGAGUCUGGAAUUCCUGGUGUAGCGGUGAAAUGCGCAGAUAUCAGGAGGAACACCGGUGGCGAAGGCGGGUCUCUGGGCCGAAACUGACGCUGAGGAGCGAAAGCGUGGGGAGCGAACAGG